This 69-nucleotide transfer RNA is filed under the name Ictidomys tridecemlineatus (thirteen-lined ground squirrel). Its description in RNAcentral is "Spermophilus tridecemlineatus (thirteen-lined ground squirrel) tRNA". It matches the Rfam family "tRNA". From Rfam's summary of the family: Transfer RNA (tRNA) molecules are approximately 80 nucleotides in length. Their secondary structure includes four short double-helical elements and three loops (D, anti-codon, and T loops). The record is from Rfam by way of RNAcentral. Lineage: Eukaryota; Metazoa; Chordata; Mammalia; Rodentia; Sciuridae.
GGAGUUAUAGCUCAGCGGUAGAGCACUUGCCUCAUACACAUGAGGCAAUGAGUUCAAUCCUCAGCACCA